AGUGAAUGCUAGGGGUAUGCUUAACACAUGCAAGUUGAACGGAACAUCUGUUUAGUAGCGUACGGGUGAGUAAUAUAGGAGAACCAAGCACUAAGUUCGGAACAAGAGAUAUGUCUGUAUAAAUGCCGGAUAUUGAAAGAUUUAUCGCUUAGUGUGGGGCUCCUAUGGGAUUAGGUUGUUGGUUGUGUAAUGGACAACCAAGCCAGGGAUCCCUAGUUGGUCUGAGAGGAUGAUCAGCCACACUGGGACUGAAACAAGGCCCAGACUUCCAUGGAGGGCAGCAGUGAGGAGUAUUGGACAAUGGGCGCAAGCUUGAUCCAGCAAUGCCGCGUGAGUGAAGAAGGCCUCGGUU
Molecule: ribosomal RNA, 352 nt
Filed under: uncultured bacterium
Lineage: Bacteria
Description: bacterial SSU rRNA
Rfam family: Bacterial small subunit ribosomal RNA
Source: RNAcentral